UACGAAGGGGGCUAGCGUUGCUCGGAAUCACUGGGCGUAAAGCGUGCGCAGGCGGUUAUGCAAGACAGAUGUGAAAUCCCCGGGCUCAACCUGGGAACUGCAUUUGUGACUGCAUAGCUAGAGUACGGUAGAGGGGGAUGGAAUUCCGCGUGUAGCAGUGAAAUGCGUAGAUAUGCGGAGGAACACCGAUGGCGAAGGCAAUCCCCUGGACCUGUACUGACGCUCAUGCACGAAAGCGUGGGGAGCAAACAGG
This 253-nucleotide ribosomal RNA is filed under the name uncultured bacterium. RNAcentral's name for it is "partial 16S ribosomal RNA". It matches the Rfam family "Bacterial small subunit ribosomal RNA", at positions 524 to 776 of the family's 1533-position model. The record is from RNAcentral.